ACUCCUACGGGGAGGCAGCAGUGGGGAAUAUUGCACAAUGGGCGCAAGCCUGAUGCAGCCAUGCCGCGUGUGUGAAGAAGGCCUUCGGGUUGUAAAGCACUUUCUAGUCGUGAGGAAGGUAGUGUAGUUAAUAGCUGCAUUAUUUGUACGUUAGCGACAGAAGAAGCACCGGCUAACUCCGUGCCAGCAGCCGCGGUAAGUACGGAGGGUGCGAGCGUUAAUCGGAAUUACGUGGGCGUAAAGCGCAUGCAGGUGGUUUGUUAAGUCAGAUGUGAAACGCCGGGGCUCAACCGUCGGAAUAGCAUUUGAAACUGGCAGACUAGAGUACUGGUAGAGGGGGUUAGAAUUUCGA
RNAcentral lists this ribosomal RNA (352 nucleotides) under uncultured bacterium. RNAcentral describes it as "bacterial SSU rRNA". It matches the Rfam family "Bacterial small subunit ribosomal RNA", at positions 335 to 672 of the family's 1533-position model. The record is from RNAcentral.